GGCUGGCCUCAGACUUGUGUGAUCCUCCUGCCUCAGCCUCCUGAGUUGCUGGACUAUAGAACUGGAAUGUGGAAGAAUGCUUGGGCUUUUCUGCUUUGGGGGAAAGGUUAGCCCAUAUGCAUUGUCAAUUUGCUCCUGGGGAUCUGAUUAGAAUCUAAUGUAAUCUGACCUAAUCCAGUAAGAUUUAAUUGAUGCUGAUGUUUUGUUAGUUUCAACUGUUUAGUUUUUCUUUUUAAUAGUUAUAAUAAAAUUACUUUUACCAAGUAA
This is a non-coding RNA of Ictidomys tridecemlineatus (thirteen-lined ground squirrel), 267 nucleotides long. The record is from RefSeq and is a predicted model, not a curated record. NCBI's taxonomy places the organism in Eukaryota, Metazoa, Chordata, Mammalia, Rodentia, Sciuridae.